RNAcentral lists this ribosomal RNA (274 nucleotides) under uncultured soil bacterium. RNAcentral's name for it is "partial 16S ribosomal RNA". It matches the Rfam family "Bacterial small subunit ribosomal RNA", at positions 26 to 285 of the family's 1533-position model. The record is from RNAcentral.
AGAAUCAACGCUGGCGGCGUGCCUAACACAUGCAAGUCGAACGCGAAAGCCCCGAAAGGGGCAAGUAGAGUGGCAAACGGGUGAGUAACACGUGGGUGACCUGCCUUCGAGCGGGGGAUAACGUCCCGAAAGGGACGCUAAUACCGCAUAACAUCCUGCCUUUGAAGAGGUGGAGAUCAAAGCUGGGGAUUCGCAAGAACCCGGCACUUGAAGAGGGGCCCGCGUCUGAUUAGCUAGUUGGUGGGGUAACGGCCUACCAAGGCAACGAUCAGUA